CUUUGGGUGUGACUGCGUACCUUUUGUAUAAUGGGUCAGCGACUUAUAUUCUGUAGCAAGGUUAACCGAAUAGGGGAGCCGGAGGGAAACCGAGUCUUAACCGGGCGUUAAGUUGCAGGGUAUAGACCCGAAACCCGGUGAUCUAGCCAUGGGCAGGUUGAAGGUUGGGUAACACUAACUGGAGGACCGAACCGACUAAUGUUGAAAAAUUAGCGGAUGACCUGUGGCUGGGGGUGAAAGGCCAAUCAAACCGGGAGAUAGCUGGUUCUCCCCGAAAGCUAUUUAGGUAGCGCCUCGUGAAUUCAUCUCCGGGGGUAGAGCACUGUUUCGGCUAGGGGGCCAUCCCGGCUUACCAACCCGAUGCAAACUGCGAAUACCGGAGAAUGUUAUCACGGGAGACACACGGCGGGUGCUAACGUCCGUCGUGAAGAGGGAAACAACCCAGACCGCCAGCUAAGGUCCCAAAGUCAUGGUUAAGUGGGAAACGAUGUGGGAAGGCCCAGACAGCCAGGAUGUUGGCUUAGAAGCAGCCAUCAUUUAAAGAAAGCGUAAUAGCUCACUGGUCGAGUCGGCCUGCGCGGAAGAUGUAACGGGGCUAAACCAUGCACCGAAGCUGCGGCAGCGACACUGUGUGUUGUUGGGUAGGGGAGCGUUCUGUAAGCCUGUGAAGGUGUGUCGUGAGG
RNAcentral lists this ribosomal RNA (683 nucleotides) under Salmonella enterica subsp. enterica serovar Enteritidis. RNAcentral describes it as "partial 23S ribosomal RNA". It matches the Rfam family "Bacterial large subunit ribosomal RNA", at positions 583 to 1268 of the family's 2925-position model. Lineage: Bacteria; Pseudomonadati; Pseudomonadota; Gammaproteobacteria; Enterobacterales; Enterobacteriaceae. The record is from RNAcentral.